UGGGGAAUUUUGGACAAUGGGCGCAAGCCUGAUCCAGCAAUGCCGCGUGCAGGAUGAAGGCCUUCGGGUUGUAAACUGCUUUUGUACGGAACGAAACGGCGAGCUCUAAUACAGUUUGCUAAUGACGGUACCGUAAGAAUAAGCACCGGCUAACUACGUGCCAGCAGCCGCGGUAAUACGUAGGGUGCAAGCGUUAAUCGGAAUUACUGGGCGUAAAGCGUGCGCAGGCGGUUAUGUAAGACAGAUGUGAAAUCCCCGGGCUUAACCUGGGAACUGCAUUUGUGACUGCAUAGCUAGAGUACGGUAGAGGGGGAUGGAAUUCCGCGUGUAGCAGUGAAAUGCGUAGAUAUGCGGAGGAACACCGAUGGCGAAGGCAAUCCCCUGGACCUGUACUGACGCUCAUGCACGAAAGCGUGGGGAGCAAACAGGAUUAGAUACCCUGGUAGUCCACGCCCUAAACGAUGUCAACUGGUUGUUGGGUCUUCACUGACUCAGUAACGAAGCUAACGCGUGAGGUUGACCGCCUGGGGAGUACGGCCGCAAGGUUG
RNAcentral lists this ribosomal RNA (548 nucleotides) under uncultured bacterium. RNAcentral describes it as "bacterial SSU rRNA". It matches the Rfam family "Bacterial small subunit ribosomal RNA", at positions 355 to 896 of the family's 1533-position model. The record is from RNAcentral.